RNAcentral lists this long non-coding RNA (475 nucleotides) under Homo sapiens (human). Its description in RNAcentral is "HSALNT0122017". Lineage: Eukaryota; Metazoa; Chordata; Mammalia; Primates; Hominidae. The record is from RNAcentral.
CCCGCUGCCCCACUCUGGCCCGUGGCUCCAGGGCUGGCCUGGCCUCAACUGUGGCUUCCUGUCACGUGGGUCAUCUGCUUGGAGCCAGUGGAGGGCAGAGGGCAACAGUGUUAGAGCAGCUCCUUUGGCACCCGCCAUUCAGUAGGUCCUGAGUUCUUGUCCUGCAUCCAAGAAGAAUGAUGUUACGUGGACAACCAGAGGGACCCGGAAGCCCUCACCUCCAGUUGUCCCGCCUUACCGGAUCCAACCAAUGUACAGCUGACACAUAUUGAUUGAUGUCUCAUGUCUCCCUGAAAUGUAUAAAAGCAAGCUGUACCACGACCACCUUGGGCACAUGUCCUCAGUACCUCCUGAGGCUGCGUCUUGGGCGCGUCCUUAACCAUGGCAAAAUAAACUUUCUAAAUUGACUGAGACCUUUCUCAGAUAUUUUGGGUUCACACAGGCAAGGCAGAGAAAGGUGAACAGUUUGGGAUUU